AUUGAACGCUGGCGGCAGGCUUAACACAUGCAAGUCGAACGGUAACAUAAAGAAGCUUGCUUCUUUGAUGACGAGUGGCGGACGGGUGAGUAAUGCUUGGGAAUCUAGCUUAUGGAGGGGGAUAACUACGGAAAACUGUAGCUAAUACCGCGUAAUAUCGAAAGAUUAAAGUGUGGGACCUUCGGGCCACAUGCCAUAGGAUGAGCCCAAGUGGGAUUAGGUAGUUGGUGAGGUAAAGGCUCACCAAGCCGACGAUCUCUAGCUGGUCUGAGAGGAUGACCAGCCACACUGGGACUGAGACACGGCCCAGACUCCUACGGGAGGCAGCAGUGGGGAAUAUUGCGCAAUGGGGGCAACCCUGACGCAGCCAUGCCGCGUGAAUGAAGAAGGCCUUCGGGUUGUAAAGUUCUUUCGGUAGCGAGGAAGGCACUUAGUUUAAUAAACUAAGUGAUUGACGUAACUACA
This 465-nucleotide ribosomal RNA is filed under the name Streptococcus sp. oral taxon C14. Its description in RNAcentral is "bacterial SSU rRNA". It matches the Rfam family "Bacterial small subunit ribosomal RNA", at positions 30 to 483 of the family's 1533-position model. Lineage: Bacteria; Bacillati; Bacillota; Bacilli; Lactobacillales; Streptococcaceae. The record is from RNAcentral.